This 383-nucleotide long non-coding RNA is filed under the name Rattus norvegicus (Norway rat). RNAcentral's name for it is "long non-coding RNA NONRATT003385". The record is from RNAcentral. Lineage: Eukaryota; Metazoa; Chordata; Mammalia; Rodentia; Muridae.
GGGUCCAGGAGGAGCUCAAAGACAACAAGUGUGGGCUGAGCGAGCUGAACACAGCCACUGUCAGCAGGCAGCCAGCAGGUAAGAAGGGGCCUCCCGGAGCACCCACGGAAGCCAGCCAGGAUGCUCUCCAUAUUCAAUUUCUGGGACACAUUCAACAUCUGGGCCAUAUUCGACAUCUGGGGCCCGAUCAACAGAGUGCUCUUCUUCCUCAGCCUCACCGUCAGUCUUGCAGGGCUGGCGGGCAACACGCUGCUGCUCUGGCACCUCGGUCUGCACAUCAAGAAGGGCCCCUUCAACACCUACCUGCUGCACCUGGCCGCUGCUGAUUUCCUCUUCCUCUCCUGCCAAGUUGCCUUCUCUCUUGCCAAGAUCGUGUCGGGCCA